RNAcentral lists this long non-coding RNA (250 nucleotides) under Ananas comosus (pineapple). RNAcentral's name for it is "long non-coding RNA (ACOM_LNC029047)". Lineage: Eukaryota; Viridiplantae; Streptophyta; Magnoliopsida; Poales; Bromeliaceae. The record is from RNAcentral.
UGCAUGCUAGUAGAAAUGUUGCUUGAUUGGUGGUUCAUAAUCUAGUAUGCUUGACAAAUGAUAUGAUGAAAAGUUUAACCCUAUAUGAGACGAUUAAUGUUAAUGUUGCUAAAGAACUGAUAUGAUGAAACUAGUGUUGAUAAUGAGUCUAAAUGACGAGUGGCAUCUAAUUUAGAAAACAAUGACAAGUGGCAUCUAGUGAUAGAAAACUAUGAUGAGUGGCAAUUCAUAUGUGUCAACCUAUGAUAUG